Molecule: ribosomal RNA, 327 nt
Filed under: uncultured eukaryote
Lineage: Eukaryota
Description: partial 18S ribosomal RNA
Rfam family: Eukaryotic small subunit ribosomal RNA
Source: RNAcentral
CCCUUAGAUGUUCUGGGCUGCACGCGCGCUACACUGAUGCGCUCAACGAGUUUAUGACCUUGCCCGGAAGGGUUGGGUAAUCUUUUCAAAACGCAUCGUGAUGGGGAUAGAUUAUUGCAAUUAUUAAUCUUCAACGAGGAAUUCCUAGUAAACGCAAAUCAUCAAUUUGCAUUGAUUACGUCCCUGCCCUUUGUACACACCGCCCGUCGCACCUACCGAUUGAAUGGUCCGGUGAAGCCUCGGGAUUGUGGCCAGUUCACUUUAUUGGGAGUUGGCUGCGAGAACUUGUCUAAACCUUAUCAUUUAGAGGAAGGUGAAGUCGUAACA